UUCUUACCCGGUAAAAGCAAAAAUAUCUGCAUAUAAAUUAAAUUAAACUUUGCGGCUUACUUCCGUUGCCUGGCGACGGGCCAAUCGGCGAAUGACGACCCAGGUGCAUACGUUAUUCGUCAGACACGUCGCCGAAGCGAGAGAGACCGGCCGCGCAUCUGAGCGUUGGCCUGUUCGGUCACCCGUCUGCCUUUUUUUCUAUUUAGGGAUUUAGCCUGGUUUGGUGGGCUCACGGCAAUUCUUGCGUUCCUUCUGAACUUCGACAUGGCACCACUGCACUAUUGGACUACGGCAAGGGUACCAUUCGAGCGCAGUGGGCGCGCCUGGCGCUGUGACACGGAUAGCGAAAAGCAGCUCGGCCGCGGUGCGCAGUUUCGCGUUUCAAUGCACUGAUAGACAAGUUCAUGGCUCUUUCUCUGACGCCCAACAUUGCUGACGUCGUCUAGUGGAGCUUCCUGCGGAAACUACUGCUGCUUACCUGGUGCCACAACGUCGGAUGAAUGCACAAAAAGCCCGCUACGAGCAUUU
This is a non-coding RNA of Dermacentor andersoni, 528 nucleotides long. NCBI's taxonomy places the organism in Eukaryota, Metazoa, Arthropoda, Arachnida, Ixodida, Ixodidae. The record is from RefSeq and is a predicted model, not a curated record.